Peromyscus californicus insignis is the source of this 3464-nucleotide long non-coding RNA. RefSeq lists it as uncharacterized. The record is from RefSeq and is a predicted model, not a curated record. Lineage: Eukaryota; Metazoa; Chordata; Mammalia; Rodentia; Cricetidae. The transcript has 3 exons.
GUCACCAUGCAUUAUUCUUUUUAUUUUUUCAAUUUAAUUGUAUUAUUAUUAUUUUGAAAAGCUGAAACAAAACAAAGUAAAAUCCAGAGCUUGCCGCCCCGCUGCAGACAACAAUAGGGAAGGGAACAGCGGAGGCUCCCAGAGAUGACAACUGUUAGGGACCUUCCUGGAAAAUGUCACUGGGACACAGCCAGGGGCUCCAGUCCCCCUCCUCCUCUUAUUGGCACCUUACAGGUCUGACAGUUUGCUGAGAGAAUGGUGGAUUAUUUAGAAGCUGAUCGGGCUUGGUUUGAUGAGAAGCCUUUAUCGGGUGUUAGUUCCACUCUUGGUUCCUGUGAGGAAGAAGGAAGAAAAUUCCAUCUGCUGCCUCCUCCAGGAGGAGAGGAGGAGGCUCAGGAGAGACAUAAGGACUUUCUUCUCUUUGUUCCUGAAGCAAAGUGGAUCCCACUUACCUUUCACCUAACCAAGGGAGAAUGGUGGGAAUUAUCCCAAGGCACCAUCUCUAAGAAGAGUAUGGCCUCCAUCUCUGGACCAGCUUUGGGGAGACGACUUUCAUGUUCUCCUGAUGUUCAAGAAACUCAGUUAUUUUUCUGCUCUGAUGCAGGCAAUUUGCCUAGCACAUGCAGGUGAAGGUCGAUGCUUGUAGGGUGAGGAGGAUCCAUGGCUGCCUACUCCACCAUCCCGCCAUGUUGCUAAAGCUUUACAUCCUGUCAACACCCUCGAGUCCUAUGGCCAUGGCUUGCUUUCAGGAGCUAUGUGGUAUUCUUGGAGGAUGACACUAUCUUCCAAGUGGUCAGUCAUGUCAAGAGGAAGUGCUGAAUCUCUCCUUUCCCACCCACGGCUGGCAGAGACGAAUUGAAGUGGACCGUGAGCGCAAGCUUCAUACUUUCUACGAGGAGUUCACGGUCACAGAAAGAGCCGCUAAUGUUCUGGAUGAAAGGUGGAAGGGUUAUGUGCUCUUUAUCAGUGGCAGGAAUGACAGACGUGGUCUUCCUGGGAAGCAAGGUGUCAUGACCCACAGCAGAGUACACCUGCUGUUGAGUAAUGGGCAUUCUUGUUCUAUACUGAGAGUCAGGCUGAUCCAAGGCUUUCUCAGAAGCCCUGAUGAAAGGACAAAGGGAACAUUAGUUCUGUGUCCUUGCCUAGGGGAAGACUUGGCAAGGUCUGGUCUGAUCUCAGGGCCAGGGCUUUGAAGGAGUUAAGGUUUUGGUUCCUGGGAACUUGGCUUGUCCCCUGAAGAGACUGGAUUUAUGGGUGCCAAGGCCAUUGUGUGUUCAGUCUCUGAGAGCCUUGAGAUAUUCUGGGUUCCUCUUCUACAACAUUGUUUCAUUAGCUUUCUACUGACUAUGUCCCAUUUCUCCCCUAAAAACUGCAUAAAAGAUGCUACACUUCUUAAUAGGCUUCCUUGGCAUAGUCAUAGCUUUGCAAGACCUCCCAACCCCAGCUUUUCUGUCUUCUUUACCUUCUCAUCUCCUGGCCACCUCCCCUUUCGGACUCCAUCACUGAAGAAUGACCUGCUGACCCAGGUCAGUUAGAGACCGAAGAGAACUGGGGAGAGGGAGCACAAGUCUGUUUACAGAUGCAUCGUGGAUGCCAACCUGAGUGUUCUCAAGCUGGUUGUUGUCAUAAUAGGAAAGAAGGAUAUUCCUGGACCGACAGAUAGUGCUAUGCUUCACUGAUGGGGGCCAAAAGACCAAGCAGAAUCCAAAAGCUUUCCAAUUUCUCUAAAGAAGACAGUGUCCACUAAUACGUCAUUAGAAAGCCCUUAAACAAAGAAGGUAAGAAGCCUGGGUCCAAAGCACCCAAGAUUCAGCAUCCUGUCAUUCCACGCGUUCUGUAGCACAAAGGUCAACCUAUUGCUCUGAAGAAAUAAUGCACUAAGAAAAACAAGGAGGAAUUUGCAGAAUAUGCUAAUGUUUUGGCCAAGAUAAUGAAGGAAGCCAAAGAAAAAUGCCAGAAGAGAUUGCCAAGGCUGUCUUCACUGAGAGCUCCUGUUUCUGAGUCUGCUUAAAAGUAAGCAUUUGACAGUAACAAAUAAAUUAACCAGGCCUUUAAUCUCAAUAAAAUAAUAUAAAAUAUAAUAGAAUGAAGCUUUUGGGUCAGUGAGAUGGUUCUGCCUGUUGUUGUAUGACACUGUCCUUGGGAAGAUCUGAACAAAUGUGUUCUCACUUCAGAGGGGGAACCCAUGAGAGACCAAAGUCCACAGGCCACCGAAGUCCACUCAGUGAAUCAAUGAGUUUGUUGGGGUUACGUAUGGCGUAUGGGUGAGGGGUUACUUACAGGAGCAGAAAUGACUCCAAGACAACUGCAUCACCAAGUUCCACCCCAGCAAGGUCACAGCUCAUGAGAGCUGGAAACCUGAAGUGUACUGUCCAGCCUGCAGGCAGCUCAACAGGUUGAAGAGUAUCUCUUUCUGGCCUAUCAGGUGCUAUAAACCUCUUCCAUGUAGCUCGGCUGAUCUCUGCUUCUUGUAGGUGGACAGCUAGUUCAGCUUGUCUAAGAGUGUCUCUCUAUAAUCUUUACAGCUUUUGCGCGCUUGUGGGAGGAACACUCUAGUGCCUCCCAUCAGAUUCAGGGACUUCCUGAAGAUUUUGAGUUGUUUCCUUUCUGAGCUUAAGGAGCUUACCUGCAGGAGACCUUAGGGUAUCUUGUGUUUUAAUAAUGAUCUUCCCUCCUAGAUGUAUGGUUUUUGUCAUGGAGAAAAUUGCUAGGCGACAGAGACAAAGGCACCAACUGACAAGCCUUAUGACCUGAGUUAGAUCCCUAACCCCACAUGGUUGAAGAGGAGAACCAACUCCCACCAGCUGUCCUCUGACCCUCUCACAUGGACCACUGGAUGUGUGUGUCUCCCAAUAAAUAGAUACAUAUGAAAGAACUAAAAAAUACUUUUUCUACUACAGCUAUAUAAGUUGUUGGUGUGGGGGAAUGCUCCCCUUGUUCAGUAUUUGUCGUUCAAUUACUCCCAAACUGCAAAAGAUAUGUAGUUUCACUUAAUUGUCAAUUUUCUUUUAUGGCUGUUGUUUUUACUACUAUAAUAAAGGUCUACAAAUGCCUGAUUGAAAUGAGAAUUAAAAAUCCAUUAUAUUUAUAGAUUGGUUUUGAGACAAUCAUAAGAACUCAGUAAGUUCAAAUUGUUUUGUGAAUUUUAGUUUUUGGAAGCUUGGGCAUCACAUACAUUGUAUAUUUUUAUAAUCGUACAUCAUUAGUGCAAAUGCAGAUAUGCACAUUUUAGAAAACUAUAAAGUAGAAUAGAACAAAAAUGUGAAAAUAUAUCCUACCAUUCACAGUAUCCCAUAAACAUCUAAGUGAAUUACUUUUUAGACCCUUCAUAAUUUUGUGACAAAGCAAAUUCAUAUUGAACACAUUGUUCUCUUUGUUAAUAUUCUUAAGUUUUUAAUUUUUCAUCUUAUCUGUGAUUCACCCAUCUCCAGCUUCCUCCAAGUCUUUGGCAGUUGCUUCUUUAC